ACGUAGGGUGCGAGCGUUAAUCGGAUUUACUGGGCGUAAAGCAUGCGCAGGCGGCGGUUCAAGUCAGGUGUGAAAUCCCCGAGCUUAACUUGGGAAUUGCGCUUGAAACUAGAUCGCUAGAGUACGGCAGAGGGGGGUAGAAUUCCACGUGUAGCAGUGAAAUGCGUAGAGAUGUGGAGGAACACCGAUGGCGAAGGCAGCCCCCUGGGCCUGUACUGACGCUCAUGCAUGAAAGCGUGGGGAGCAAACAGGAUUAGAUACCCUGGUAGUCCACGCCCUAAACUAUGUCAACUAGUUGUUGGAAGAGUCAAAUCUUUCAGUAACGUAGCUAACGCGCGAAGUUGACCGCCUGGGGAGUACGGUCGCAAGAUUA
Molecule: ribosomal RNA, 373 nt
Filed under: uncultured bacterium
Lineage: Bacteria
Description: bacterial SSU rRNA
Rfam family: Bacterial small subunit ribosomal RNA
Source: RNAcentral